GACGAACGCUGGCGGCGUGCUUAACACAUGCAAGUCGAACGGUGAACGAGGGAGCUUGCUCCCUCCGGAUCAGUGGCGAACGGGUGAGUAACACGUGAGCAAUCUGCCCCGAACUCUGGGAUAAGCGUUGGAAACGACGUCUAAUACCGGAUACGACGCGGGAGGGCAUCCUCUCCGCGUGGAAAGAACUUCGGUUCGGGAUGAGCUCGCGGCCUAUCAGCUUGUUUGUGAGGUAACGGCUCACCAAGGCGACGACGGGUAGCCGGCCUGAGAGGGUGACCGGCCACACUGGGACUGAGACACGGCCCAGACUCCUACGGGAGGCAGCAGUGGGGAAUAUUGCACAAUGGGCGCAAGCCUGAUGCAGCAACGCCGCGUGAGGGACGACGGCCUUCGGGUUGUAAACCUCUUUUAGCAGGGAAGAAGCGAAAGUGACGGUACCUGCAGAAAAAGCACCGGCUAACUACGUG
Molecule: ribosomal RNA, 470 nt
Filed under: uncultured bacterium
Lineage: Bacteria
Description: partial 16S ribosomal RNA
Rfam family: Bacterial small subunit ribosomal RNA
Source: RNAcentral